UUCAUGUGGUGCUAUCUUUGUAGUGUGUGAGGGAGUGGAAUGUUUGCACAUGGGAGAGGUAUUUUCCCUCUCUGCGUAGCCUUUCAUCCCAAGAUUGUGAGAAAGAUCCCAAAGAGGCCAGGGACAGAUCCCUGAUUUGCAGGUUUAAAAAAAAAAAUCAAGAUGUGUUUUUAGAGAACCAAGACCCAGGGGUUGUGAUCCACGAGCCUAAGAUUAUUGCUGCAGAAAUGGAGGCAUCAGGAAGGCCAGGCUGCUGUACAGUGGAUAACUAUGGCCUUCAGAGAGGCCCAGUCUUCUGGCCCAAUUUGGCUCUUUCAUUUGUAUACAUUUUUUUAAAAAUAAUUUUGAAUUCUAGGGCCAGCAAGAUGGCUUAUUGGUACCACCAUUAGUUUGAUCCAUGGAGCCCACAUGGUGGAAGGAGAGACCAACGCCUACAAGCUAUCCUCUGACUUUCACACAGGCACAUGGCAUGCAUAUGUACCACCGAGACCACACCCCGAAAAUAACCGUAAAGAAAAUUACACUAGUUUUAAGUCAUAGUAACAGUGAGCCAUAUUUUUUAUAGUCCUUGAAGGCCGGCAGUCAUUACAGCCCUGGGCCACUGGUGUGCCUGAGUCAUUCUUUUACUUGACCUGCCAUCAGCGUUGAGCUGGACUCACCUCAGAAGAAAGGCUGCUGAGAAUGGCAUGCAUCACACCCUGCAUUUGAUGCAAUGUAUAUUUAAAAAUAAACAAGUAGAGAAUUAAGAGGGUGGCCCACCUAGGCUUUGGGGUUCUAAGGGUGGUGCAGCUCAUAGUUACUGCUGUGGGGCCGGAAGACAGAGCUGAGGCUCCGUGGACCCUGGAAUGGGUGAACCAGCUUUGUAAUGUCCAGCCUCCUCUAAACUCCUCCCCAGUGCCUUUUCAUACAAAUAGGCCUGGAGCACCUCCUCUCCUCCACAAAGCCCACUGGUCUGGGAUAGCAUCCCUUCAGCCCUCACUAUGCUAAUGCGAGCAUGCCUUAGGGGAAACAGUAUGUCCACACACAGAAAUAGCUGCCCGAUGGUGAAAUUCACAAAAUCAUGUGACACAUACUAGAUAGAGUCCACCCAGGAGAUAAAGGGGUUUGAUGAAGCCCCUGAAUUUUGCUCAGUGUGUGACUGCCUUGACCCUUAGUACUGUCAGCUCUAUCACAGUCCCACAUGCCUCAUGUCUUGGUCUUCCUGUGAGUCUGUCUAGGAGUGUAACUGGAUAUGUUAUUGUAAACCAGUGGUUCUCAACUUGUGGGCUGUGUCCCCACAAAGGGGUCACAUAUCAGAUAUUUACAUUAUAAUUCAUAACAGUAGCAAUACUACAGUUAUGAAGUAGCAACAGAAUAAUUUUAUAAUUGUUGGGGGGGUCACCAGAACAGAAGAAACUAUUAAAGGGUCACAGCAUAGGAAGGUUGAGAACCACUACUAUAAAUUAUGAUUUUUUUUUUUUUUUUGCUUUCAGUCUAUAUGCCUUGGGUAUCCAUCCCCAAAGUAACUGGUUAUGGAAUAAACAAUGCAAUGGGG
RNAcentral lists this long non-coding RNA (1534 nucleotides) under Mus musculus (house mouse). RNAcentral describes it as "long non-coding RNA chr11:121253024-121254558". The record is from RNAcentral. Lineage: Eukaryota; Metazoa; Chordata; Mammalia; Rodentia; Muridae.